AUUGUUCGGAUUUCUCUUACCUUUUCUUUCACAUUGCAUGGUAAUAAACACUAAAAAACAGAUCAACUAAUAUUGUUCUUUAUGUUUAUAGGACUGUACUUAGUUUACAUUCGGAUGUUGACACAUGAAGAAAAUGGAUUUUCGUCAAGGGCUCCUAAAGCUGUUAAAACUUACAGACCAAUUGAAAGAAAAGAAGAGAACAAACAACACAAUUAAAAGAAGCUGCCAAAAACUGUAGAAGUGUCAGCUGGCAAGAAAGAACCUCUGCGGAAAUUUAUUGGUGAGCAGGUAAACAUCUCACUGUCCCUGAGCCAACAAAAAAUGCCUCUCUAGGAGUUAGAUUAGCUUUACACAGCUGAUUCAA
This 364-nucleotide long non-coding RNA is filed under the name Calidris pugnax (ruff). RNAcentral describes it as "lncRNA (ENSCPUG00000017223.1)". The record is from RNAcentral. Lineage: Eukaryota; Metazoa; Chordata; Aves; Charadriiformes; Scolopacidae.